CUGUAAACGAUGAGUACUAAGUGUCGGGGUAACUCGGUACUGAAGUUAACACAUUAAGUACUCCGCCUGAGUAGUACGUACGCAAGUAUGAAACUUAAAGGAAUUGACGGGACUCCGCACAAGCGGUGGAUCAUGUUGUUUAAUUCGAAGAUACACGAAAAACCUUACCAGGUCUUGACAUACUCUGCAAAGCUAUAGAAAUAUAGUGGAGGUUAUCAGGGAUACAGGUGGUGCAUGGUUGUCGUCAGUUCGUGUCGUGAGAUGUUAGGUUAAGUCCUAAAACGAACGCAACCCCUGUCGCUAGUUGCCAGCACGUAAUGGUGGGGACUUUAGCGAGACUGCCAAUUAAACAUUGGAGGAAGGUGGGGAUAACGUCAAAUCAUCAUGCCCCUUAUGAUCUGGGCUACAAACGUGAUACAAUGGCUAUUACAAAGAGUAGCUGAAACGCGAGUUUUUAGCCAAUCUCAAAAAGGUAGUCUCAGUACGGAUUGAAGUCUGCAACUCGACUUCAUGAAGCUGGAAUCGCUAGUAAUCGCGAAUCAGCAUGUCGCGGUGAAUACGUUCUCGGGGUUUGUACACACCGCCCGUCAAACCACGAAAGUUAGCAAUACCCGAAAGCAGUGGCUUAACUUCGCAAGAAGAGGGAGCUGUCUAAGGUAGGGUUGAUGAUUGGGGUUAAGUCGUAACAAGGUAUCCUUACCGGAAGGUGAGGAUGGAUCACCUCCUU
RNAcentral lists this ribosomal RNA (727 nucleotides) under Candidatus Phytoplasma vitis. Its description in RNAcentral is "bacterial SSU rRNA". It matches the Rfam family "Bacterial small subunit ribosomal RNA", at positions 800 to 1532 of the family's 1533-position model. The record is from RNAcentral. Lineage: Bacteria; Bacillati; Mycoplasmatota; Mollicutes; Acholeplasmatales; Acholeplasmataceae.